This 609-nucleotide ribosomal RNA is filed under the name bacterium 68-L049641-122-013-D09. Its description in RNAcentral is "bacterial SSU rRNA". It matches the Rfam family "Bacterial small subunit ribosomal RNA", at positions 62 to 688 of the family's 1533-position model. The record is from RNAcentral.
UCGACGAUGACCUCCUUCGGGAGGGGAUUAGUGGCGAACGGGUGAGUAACACGUGGGCAAUCUGCCCUUCACUCUGGGACAAGCCCUGGAAACGGGGUCUAAUACCGGAUAACACUGCGGAUCGCAUGGUCUGCGGUUGAAAGCUCCGGCGGUGAAGGAUGAGCCCGCGGCCUAUCAGCUUGUUGGUGGGGUGAUGGCCUACCAAGGCGACGACGGGUAGCCGGCCUGAGAGGGCGACCGGCCACACUGGGACUGAGACACGGCCCAGACUCCUACGGGAGGCAGCAGUGGGGAAUAUUGCACAAUGGGCGAAAGCCUGAUGCAGCGACGCCGCGUGAGGGAUGACGGCCUUCGGGUUGUAAACCUCUUUCAGCAGGGAAGAAGCGAAAGUGACGGUACCUGCAGAAGAAGCGCCGGCUAACUACGUGCCAGCAGCCGCGGUAAUACGUAGGGCGCAAGCGUUGUCCGGAAUUAUUGGGCGUAAAGAGCUCGUAGGCGGCUUGUCGCGUCGGAUGUGAAAGCCCGGGGCUUAACCCCGGGUCUGCAUUCGAUACGGGCAGGCUAGAGUGUGGUAGGGGAGAUCGGAAUUCCUGGUGUAGCGGUGAAAUG